RNAcentral lists this ribosomal RNA (494 nucleotides) under uncultured bacterium. Its description in RNAcentral is "partial 16S ribosomal RNA". It matches the Rfam family "Bacterial small subunit ribosomal RNA", at positions 28 to 507 of the family's 1533-position model. The record is from RNAcentral.
GACGAACGCUGGCGGCGUGCUUAACACAUGCAAGUCGAACGGAAAGGCCUGCUUUCCCUUGUGGAUUGCGGGUACUCGAGUGGCGAACGGGUGAGUAACACGUGAGUGAUCUGCCCCCAACUUGGGUAUAAGACUGGGAAACUGGGUCUAAUUCCCGAUAGGACUGCAGGGUGGUGCCUGUGGUGGAAAACGAUUUUCUAGUGGUUGGGGAUGAGCUCGCGGCCUAUCAGGCUGUUGGUGGGGUAAUGGCCUACCAAGGCGGCGACGGGUAGCCGGCCUGAGAGGGGGGACGCCCACAUUGGGACUGAGAUACGGCCCAGACUCCUACGGGAGGCAGCAGUGGGGAAGAUUGCACAAUGGGCGGAAGCCUGAUGCAGCGACGCCGCGUGGGGGAUGACGGCCUUCGGGUUGUAAACUCCUUUCGACCUCGAGGAAGCCACCUGGUUGGAAGGGUGGUGACGGUAGUGGUAGAAGAAGCACCGGCUAACUACGUG